GAAAACUCAGACUUGUCUGACUCUGACCCAGAGAUUGUUAUUAAAAGGCCCUCUGAGUUUGAUCUUGCUGAUACAUUGCCAUGGGAACUUCAACAUGAAAGCAGUCCUUUACAGAAAGCAGCAGAAUAUGAGAAGGGUGCUGGGGAUCUUGUGCUUGCUAAUGAAGUACAACAGGUAGAAAACUAUUUUAUUAGUAAAACAGUGCAGCAGACAAUCUCCACCGCCUUUACUUUGCAAUUAGAUAACGAUUCACUGUUUGCUGAGCCCCCAGAAGAACCUGUGUUAGUAAUUUAAACAUUUGAAUCCAAUUAACCGCCAUCUUGUUUUAUACAAGACAUCAUGCAAUCAUGAGAGAAGUAUAUAUACCUUUAAAAAAAAAAAAAAAGUUUCCCUUUUUUUUUAGAGACACCAAUUUGCAGGCACAUGGAAUUAUUGCAAAUUUGGCACUGGAACUUGACCACAAGAAGGUCAGCAGGUUCAAUAUAUCAAGGUCAGCUGUAUGGGAUGGAGCUGUUAGAGGAUUUCGACGCAGCACAUACUCUGACAACUACGACAUGUUCAUCAAGUUUAAUGAUGAUGCUGGCAGCUUUGAAGAAGGUUUGGAUACAGGUGGCCCGGUGAAUUCCUCACACUUCUUAUGGGCAGUCUGCGAAAUCGCCCCAUCUUUGAUGGACCUCCAGAGAGCCGUUAUCUUGUAUAUAAUUCAAGAGCUGCCAGGCAAGAUGAGUACUUUUUAGCAGGAAAGAUGAUCGCUGUAUCCAUUGUGCAUGGGGGACCAGCACCACAUUUCCUCUCCAAGAACCUGGUCAACCACAUCACAGGGAAUCAGAGUUUCAGCGCCACUGUAGAAGAUGUGCAAGAUGAGGAGAUCACAAAAAUUUUACAUCAGGUCCUGAAAGCUGAAUCAGAGGAGUCUUUGCAUAAUCUUAUUUUGCAAAACAGCACAAUCUUCAAACUGCUGGAUGCCUCAGAAACGUCAAGCCUUUUGAGAAACAAGCAUUUGUGGAGGAGUACCUCAGAUGGUACAUCCUUGAAAGAAACCAAAGUGUCAUUCAAC
This is a long non-coding RNA of Oreochromis aureus, 1057 nucleotides long. NCBI's taxonomy places the organism in Eukaryota, Metazoa, Chordata, Actinopteri, Cichliformes, Cichlidae. The record is from Ensembl.